RNAcentral lists this ribosomal RNA (247 nucleotides) under uncultured bacterium. RNAcentral describes it as "partial 16S ribosomal RNA". It matches the Rfam family "Bacterial small subunit ribosomal RNA", at positions 88 to 334 of the family's 1533-position model. The record is from RNAcentral.
CUGACGAGUGGCGGACGGGUGAGUAACGCGUAGGAAUCUGCCCAAUAGUGGGGGACAACCCGGAGAAAUCCGGGCUAAUACCGCAUACGCCCUACGGGGGAAAGGAGGGGAUCUCUUCGGAAACCUUUCGCUAUUGGAUGAGCCUGCGUCGGAUUAGCUUGUUGGUAGGGUAACGGCCUACCAAGGCGACGAUCCGUAGCUGGUCUGAGAGGACGAUCAGCCACACUGGGACUGAGACACGGCCCAG